RNAcentral lists this long non-coding RNA (846 nucleotides) under Marmota monax (woodchuck). Lineage: Eukaryota; Metazoa; Chordata; Mammalia; Rodentia; Sciuridae. The record is from RNAcentral.
GAGCAAGUCUGGCCUCAGCAGCUCUCUCUGCUUCCCAGUGGAGACGUGACCACUUAAUGUGACUCACUCCUGCCAUCUGCCAUGGGACCUUUGCCAAGCCUGCUACUCUAUGCCAUUUAGGCUUUCACCCUCUCAAACUGUGAGCUACAAAAAUGUCCCCCAUCCCAGUACUGGGGAUUGAACCCAGGGGUGCUCUACCAUUGAGCUACACCCUAGUCCUUUUUAUUUUUUAUUAUUUUGAGACAGGGUCUCACUAAGUUGUCAAGGCUGGCUUCAAACUUGCCAUCUUCCUGCUUCUCUCCCCUGAGUAGCUGAGAUUACAGGUUUCAACCACUGCACUUGACUGCCACCCUGUUUUGAUGGUUGGUUUGCUUGACUGUCUCCUCCACUGAACCUGACCAGGAUCAUGGUUUGGCCCCUGUCUGUUGCUUCCCACAGGGCUGAUACAUCUGUGUGCACACAUGCAGGUGAAGACAGCUGAGUGCUGGAGUGGGAAGACACACUGUCCCAGACGUGAAAUUCUUUCCUUAGGAUGGUUACUGAACAGGCCCAUCCAGGUGCUCAGAAUCAGUAGGGCACCUUUCCAACCAACACAUAGUCCCUCCCUGUUCCACACCUCUUUAGCCAGUAUCUUCAGGGAUGUGCCAGGCACAAGAAUUUGAGCAAAGUAUCUCAUGUACAUUUGAUACAUUGCCCUUCCUGAGCCCCAAGUGACCCAAUCAGGAUGGAAGCACACCUGGGUGUCUGAUAUUUUUACUUUGCAUCUUUCUAGAAAAGAGAAAGCACUGAAGUGAGCCACCAGGCCUUUUACAGCCUCUGGGAUAGAAAGGUCAGUUGAAUUGCCAG